This 429-nucleotide ribosomal RNA is filed under the name Bacillota bacterium. Its description in RNAcentral is "Firmicutes bacterium partial 16S ribosomal RNA". It matches the Rfam family "Bacterial small subunit ribosomal RNA", at positions 355 to 776 of the family's 1533-position model. The record is from RNAcentral. Lineage: Bacteria; Bacillati; Bacillota.
UGGGGAAUUUUGGACAAUGGGCGAAAGCCUGAUCCAGCAAUGCCGCGUGUGUGAAGAAGGCCUUCGGGUUGUAAAGCACUUUUGUCCGGAAAGAAAUGGCUCUGGUUAAUACCUGGGGUCGAUGACGGUACCGGAAGAAUAAGGACCGGCUAACUACGUGCCAGCAGCCGCGGUAAUACGUAGGGUCCAAGCGUUAAUCGGAAUUACUGGGCGUAAAGCGUGCGCAGGCGGUUGUGCAAGACCGAUGUGAAAUCCCCGAGCUUAACUUGGGAAUUGCAUUGGUGACUGCACGGCUAGAGUGUGUCAGAGGGUGGUAGAAUUCCACGUGUAACAGUGAAAUGCGUAGAGAUGUGGAGGAAUACCGAUGGCGAAGGCAGCCCCCUGGGAUAACACUGACGCUCAUGCACGAAAGCGUGGGGAGCAAACAGG